RNAcentral lists this ribosomal RNA (322 nucleotides) under Eocercomonas sp. RNAcentral's name for it is "SSU rRNA". The stretch from base 106 to 322 matches the Rfam family "Eukaryotic small subunit ribosomal RNA", at positions 737 to 955 of the family's 1831-position model. Lineage: Eukaryota; Cercozoa; Cercomonadida; Cercomonadidae. The record is from RNAcentral.
GAUUUCUGGCUUGGUGCGCGCCGUCCGCUGUCGUUAGAUGGUGUGUGCGGUUGUGCGCCUGCCAUCUUUCUAGACAUUGUGCUGUGCCCUUCACUGGGUGGCAGGCAGUGGCUGGAUCUUUUACUUUGAAAAAAUUAGAGUGUUCAAAGCAGGCUUGCGCUAUGAAUACAUUAGCAUGGAAUAAUAAUUUAGGACUCCCGUUCUAUUUUGUUGGUUUCUAGGAUGGAAGUAAUGAUUGAUAGGGAUAGUUGGGGGUGCUAGUAUUCAGAGGCCAGAGGUGAAAUUCUCGGAUUCUCUGAAGACUAACUUAUGCGAAAGCAUU